GCCGGUGUGAUGGAAUGGUAGACGUAGCGGAUUCAAAAUCCGCCGGGGGCAACUCCGUGUGGGUUCGAGUCCCACCACCGGCACCA
Molecule: transfer RNA, 86 nt
Filed under: Clostridiales bacterium
Lineage: Bacteria; Bacillati; Bacillota; Clostridia; Eubacteriales
Also listed under: 3 other names
Description: tRNA-Leu
Rfam family: tRNA
About the family: Transfer RNA (tRNA) molecules are approximately 80 nucleotides in length. Their secondary structure includes four short double-helical elements and three loops (D, anti-codon, and T loops).
Source: RNAcentral